AAAUGAAUAGACGGGAACCCGCACAAGCGGUGGAGUAUGUUGUUUAAUUCGAAGAUACACGAAGAACCUUACCAGGUCUUGACAUACCAUUGACAUAAUUAGAGAUAAUUAGUUCCUUCGGGACAAUGGAUACAGGUGGUGCAUGGUUGUCGUCAGCUCGUGCCGUGAGGUGUUGGGUUAAGUCCCGCAACGAGCGCAACCCCUAUUGCUAGUUGCUAACAUGAAAGAUGAGGACUCUAGUGAGACUGCCAGUGACAAACUGGAGGAAGGUGGGGAUGAUGUCAAAUCAUCAUGCCCUUUAUGACCUGGGCUACAAACGUACUACAAUGGCCACUACAAAGAGAAGCAAAGCGGUGACGUGGAGCGAACCUCAUAAAAGUGGUCUCAGUUCAGAUUGAAGUCUGCAACUCGACUUCAUGAAGGCGGAAUCGCUAGUAAUCGCGAGUCAGCAGAUCGCGGUGAAUACGUUCCCGGGUUUUGUACACACCGCCCGU
RNAcentral lists this ribosomal RNA (494 nucleotides) under uncultured bacterium. Its description in RNAcentral is "bacterial SSU rRNA". It matches the Rfam family "Bacterial small subunit ribosomal RNA", at positions 903 to 1397 of the family's 1533-position model. The record is from RNAcentral.